AUACGUAGGUGACAAGCGUUAUCCGGAUUUACUGGGCGUAAAGGGCGUGUAGGCGGUCUUGCAAGUCAGAAGUGAAAUUCCUGAGCUCAACUCGGGCGCUGCUUCUGAAACUGCAGGACUUGAGUGCUGGAGGGGAUAGCGGAAUUCCUAGUGGAGCGGUAAAAUGCGCAGAUAUUAGGAAGAACACCGGUGGCGAAGGCGGCUAUCUGGACAGUAACUGACGCUGAGGCGCGAAAGCGUGGGGAGCAAACAGGAUUAGAUCCCCUGGUAGUCCACGCCGUAAACGAUGAAUACUAGGUGUAGGGGGUAUCGACUCCCUCUGUGCCGCAGUUAACACAAUAAGUAUUCCGCCUGGGGAGUACGGCCGCAAGGUUGAAACUCAAAUGAAUUGGCGGGG
Molecule: ribosomal RNA, 397 nt
Filed under: uncultured bacterium
Lineage: Bacteria
Description: partial 16S ribosomal RNA
Rfam family: Bacterial small subunit ribosomal RNA
Source: RNAcentral